AACGAACGCUGGCGGCAUGCCUAACACAUGCAAGUCGAACGAGACCUUCGGGUCUAGUGGCGCACGGGUGCGUAACGCGUGGGAACCUGCCCUUAGGUUCGGAAUAACUCCCCGAAAGGGGUGCUAAUACCGGAUAAUGUCUUCGGACCAAAGAUUUAUCGCCGUUGGAUGGGCCCGCGUUGGUUUAGCUAGUUGGUAGGGUAAAAGCCUACCAAGGCGACGAUCCAUAGCUGGUCUGAGAGGAUGAUCAGCCACACUGGGACUGAGACACGGCCCAGACUCCUACGGGAGGCAGCAGUGGGGAAUAUUGGACAAUGGGCGAAAGCCUGAUCCAGCAAUGCCGCGUGAGUGAUGAAGGCCUUAGGGUUGUAAAGCUCUUUUACCCGGGAUGAUAAUGACAGUACCGGGAGAAUAAGCUCCGGCUAACUCCGUG
RNAcentral lists this ribosomal RNA (433 nucleotides) under uncultured bacterium. RNAcentral's name for it is "partial 16S ribosomal RNA". It matches the Rfam family "Bacterial small subunit ribosomal RNA", at positions 29 to 507 of the family's 1533-position model. The record is from RNAcentral.